RNAcentral lists this ribosomal RNA (254 nucleotides) under uncultured bacterium. Its description in RNAcentral is "partial 16S ribosomal RNA". It matches the Rfam family "Bacterial small subunit ribosomal RNA", at positions 524 to 776 of the family's 1533-position model. The record is from RNAcentral.
UACGUAGGGUGCGAGCGUUGUCCGGAUUCAUUGGGCGUAAAGAGCGCGCAGGCGGCUUGGUAAGUCGGAUGUGAAAUCCCGAGGCUCAACCUCGGGUCUGCAUCCGAUACUGCCCGGCUAGAGGUAGGUAGGGGGAGAUCGGAAUUCCUGGUGUAGCGGUGAAAUGCGCAGAUAUCAGGAGGAACACCAAUUGCGAAGGCAGCUCGCUGGGACGUUACUGACGCUGAGGCGCGAAAGCGUGGGGAGCGAACAGG